RNAcentral lists this ribosomal RNA (399 nucleotides) under uncultured bacterium. RNAcentral's name for it is "bacterial SSU rRNA". It matches the Rfam family "Bacterial small subunit ribosomal RNA", at positions 216 to 608 of the family's 1533-position model. The record is from RNAcentral.
CGCUAUUAGAUGAGCCUAUGUCAGAUUAGCUUGUUGGUGGGGUAAUGGCCUACCAAGGUGACGAUCUGUAGCUGGUCUGAGAGGAUGAUCAGCCACACUGGAACUGAGACACGGUCCAGACUCCUACGGGAGGCAGCAGUGGGGAAUAUUGGACAAUGGGCGCAAGCCUGAUCCAGCAAUACCGCGUGUGUGAAGAAGGCCUUAGGGUUGUAAAGCACUUUCAAUUGGGAGGAAUACUUGCCGGUCAAUACCCGGUAGAUUGACAUUACCUUUAGAAGAAGCACCGGCUAACUCCGUGCCAGCAGCCGCGGUAAUACGGAGGGUGCGAGCGUUAAUCGGAAUUACUGGGCGUAAAGAGUGCGUAGGCGGUUAUUUAAGUCAGAUGUGAAAGCCCCGGGC